This 461-nucleotide ribosomal RNA is filed under the name uncultured bacterium. Its description in RNAcentral is "bacterial SSU rRNA". It matches the Rfam family "Bacterial small subunit ribosomal RNA", at positions 1 to 507 of the family's 1533-position model. The record is from RNAcentral.
AGUACAGACGAGUUUGAUCAUGGCUCAGAGCGAACGCUGGCGGCAGGCCUAAUACAUGCAAGUCGAACGGUUCCUUCGGGAACAGUGGCGGACGGGUGAGUAACACGUGGGAACGUGCCCUUUGGUACGGAACAACUGAGGGAAACUUCAGCUAAUACCGUAUGUGCCCUUCGGGGGAAAGAUUUAUCGCCAUUGGAGCGGCCCGCGUUGGAUUAGGUAGUUGGUGAGGUAAAGGCUCACCAAGCCUACGAUCCAUAGCUGGUCUGAGAGGAUGAUCAGCCACACUGGGACUGAGACACGGCCCAGACUCCUACGGGAGGCAGCAGUAGGGAAUCUUGCGCAAUGGGCGAAAGCCUGACGCAGCCAUGCCGCGUGAAUGAUGAAGGUCUUAGGAUUGUAAAAUUCUUUCACCGGGGACGAUAAUGACGGUACCCGGAGAAGAAGCCCCGGCUAACUUCGUG